Molecule: ribosomal RNA, 497 nt
Filed under: uncultured bacterium
Lineage: Bacteria
Description: partial 16S ribosomal RNA
Rfam family: Bacterial small subunit ribosomal RNA
Source: RNAcentral
GAUGAACGCUGGCGGCGUGCCUAAUACAUGCAAGUCGAGCGAACGGACGAGAAGCUUGCUUUUCUGAUGUUAGCGGCGGACGGGUGAGUAACACGUGGAUAACCUACCUAUAAGACUGGGAUAACUUCGGGAAACCGGAGCUAAUACCGGAUAAUAUUUUGAACCGCAUGGUUCAAAAGUGAAAGACGGUCUUGCUGUCACUUAUAGAUGGAUCCGCGCUGCAUUAGCUAGUUGGUAAGGUAACGGCUUACCAAGGCAACGAUGCGUAGCCGACCUGAGCGGGGGAUCGGCCACACUGGAACUGAGACACGGUCCAGACUCCUACGGGAGGCAGCAGUAGGGAAUCGUCCGCAAUGGGCGAAAGCCUGACGGAGCAACGCCGCGUGAGUGAUGAAGGUCUUCGGAUCGUAAAACUCUGUUAUUAGGGAAGAACAUAUGUGUAAGUAACUGUUCACAUCUUGACGGUACCUAAUCAGAAAGCCACGGCUAACUACGUG